UACGUAGGGGGCUAGCGUUGUCCGGAUUUAUUGGGCGUAAAGAGCGUGUAGGCGGCCAGACAGGUCAGCUGUGAAAACUCGAGGCUCAACCUCGAGACGUCGGUUGAAACCGUCUGGCUAGAGUCCGGAAGAGGAGAGUGGAAUUCCCGGUGUAGCGGUGAAAUGCGCAGAUAUCCGGAGGAACACCGGUGGCGAAGGCGGCUUCCUGGACCGACACUGACGCUGAGGCGCGAAAGCUAGGGGAGCAAACGGG
Molecule: ribosomal RNA, 253 nt
Filed under: uncultured bacterium
Lineage: Bacteria
Description: partial 16S ribosomal RNA
Rfam family: Bacterial small subunit ribosomal RNA
Source: RNAcentral